GUGGCCAAGAGGUAAUCAAUACUGAUCCUCUGAAACAUGGCGAUCGUAUUUGUAUCAAACAAGAGGAAGAGUUAGCCACAGUGUGUACGAACGAAGCGGUCGAAAAAACAGCUAUGGUCGUGUACACACAUGACAUUGGACCUAUGCCUGAGAGGGAAGAAAACGAGUGAGAGUCUAAUCCAUUGUAGUUAUUGCUCAUCGUCGACGUGCUUUCUGUAUCAGACCAUACAUCGCUAUCCUCAAAAUGUUCAAUUUCAAAUGACGUCGUUUGUGUGCUGUGAUUUUUUGUUGAAAUUAACUCAACCUCCGUACCUUAGCAUAAAAUUAUUGUAUUGCUGGAUUUUUCACAAAAAUCAAAACGGCCAAAAUGGAAAGUCUAUACCUCUACUUAUCAUAUUUGGCACUUUUGUUUGAGUGGUUCUUGACCUUACGUGUUUUUGCGGACGGAUUGUUAUGUCUGCUUGGCAUUUCACAUUGCGCUUCUAAGACAAACUUCCUUUGAGGUAAAACGCACAAACAUUUCGAGCCGAUGUCGACACAUCGUAGUCGUCUGCAAGAACGUCGUCAAUAAUCUAAAAUUAUAAAAUUGUCGUCAAUUUGACAGAAGACUGUUAUACCUGCAAUAUUUUCCUGAAAUAAUUUGUAAAAGGCUUUAUAGACAGGUACUGGCUCUAAUUGGUUUGGGUGCAACAUGUGAGAAAUGUUAUGAUAAAAAUUUGGUAAAGGGAAAGUAAAAAACAUCCCAACUAUGAACAAAUGUGGAGAAGUUAAAUUACAUACUGACACAUUAAAAAGUAGUUUGAACAAUCCGUAUGUAUUUUAAACUUAAUUGAAUUUAUUUAGAUUAUGGCUGUUAAGUAAUUACAGCAUUCAAAAAUUUCAAUAAUUUUUGAACUUUUCAUUAUCAUCUUAUAUCUGUAUUAAAUGGAAUUUUUGUUUGUUAAUAGUGUUUUACAUGAUGAUUGUAUUAAGAUUACCAAAAAAUGAAAGUCUAAAAAGUUUCAUGAUUACACUAA
Long non-coding RNA from Xenia sp. Carnegie-2017, 1016 nucleotides. RefSeq lists it as uncharacterized. The transcript has 4 exons. Lineage: Eukaryota; Metazoa; Cnidaria; Anthozoa; Malacalcyonacea; Xeniidae. The record is from RefSeq and is a predicted model, not a curated record.